GCUUACUCUCUAUCUGUCACC
Molecule: microRNA, 21 nt
Filed under: Solanum lycopersicum (tomato)
Lineage: Eukaryota; Viridiplantae; Streptophyta; Magnoliopsida; Solanales; Solanaceae
Also listed under: 1 other name
Description: sly-miR156e-3p
Gene: sly-miR156e-3p
Source: miRBase by way of RNAcentral